CAAGUCGAACGGUAACAGGAAGUGCUUGCACUUCGCUGACGAGUGGCGGACGGGUGAGUAAUGCUUGGGAACUUGCCUUUGCGAGGGGGAUAACAGUUGGAAACGACUGCUAAUACCGCAUAAUGUCUUCGGACCAAACGGGGCUUAGGCUCCGGCGCAAAGAGAGGCCCAAGUGAGAUUAGCUAGUUGGUAAGGUAACGGCUUACCAAGGCGACGAUCUCUAGCUGUUCUGAGAGGAAGAUCAGCCACACUGGGACUGAGACACGGCCCAGACUCCUACGGGAGGUAGCAGUGGGGAAUAUUGCACAAUGGGGGAAACCCUGAUGCAGCCAUGCCGCGUGUGUGAAGAAGGCCUUCGGGUUGUAAAGCACUUUCAGUUGUGAGGAAAAGUUAGUAGGUAAUACCUGCUAGCCGUGACGUUAACAACAGAGGAAGCACCGGCUAACUCCGUGCCAGUCAGCCGCGGUAAUACGGAGGGUGCGAGCGUUAAUCGUAAUUACUGGGC
Molecule: ribosomal RNA, 505 nt
Filed under: uncultured marine bacterium
Lineage: Bacteria
Description: bacterial SSU rRNA
Rfam family: Bacterial small subunit ribosomal RNA
Source: RNAcentral